AUAGAUAAAUUUUGAGUAGAGUGUUGGUAUGCUAGUUGUAAAUGUGUGUGUAAAUUUUAAGGUCAAUCAAACAGUUAGAUCAAAGUAUGUAAAGGUUUUUGUAGGUUGAGGUCUUAGAAAUUGGAGUUUGAAGGUUAGUAAGUAUUUUUAAGAUCUUUAGCAAUUUUUUGAUUGGAUUGAAGUGAUUUCUUUUUAAUAGAAACUAGACUUGAUUUUCAAUAAUUUAGGUAAAUUUUGGAAGCAAUUCAAUGGUUGA
This 256-nucleotide long non-coding RNA is filed under the name Physcomitrium patens. Its description in RNAcentral is "long non-coding RNA (PPAT_LNC005290)". The record is from RNAcentral. Lineage: Eukaryota; Viridiplantae; Streptophyta; Bryopsida; Funariales; Funariaceae.